This 324-nucleotide long non-coding RNA is filed under the name Amborella trichopoda. RNAcentral's name for it is "long non-coding RNA (ATRI_LNC000035)". Lineage: Eukaryota; Viridiplantae; Streptophyta; Magnoliopsida; Amborellales; Amborellaceae. The record is from RNAcentral.
AGGUCCUGAUACAUUUUAAUACUUUCGGGAUGUAUCGUAUAACGAGAAUGAUGUGCUUCUUCUAAGAUAGCUUUCUUUACACUCUUAUCAUUCGAGACACAAACCCGACCUUUGAAUCUUAGCAAAUCCUCACUACAUAUAGAGAAUUCAUCUCUCUUUCCUUGCUUUACCUCUUCUAUAAUUGUUAUAAGCUGAUGGUCUUUCUUUUGUGCCAAUCGAAUCUGUUGGAUUAAUUGGGGUUCCGCCUUAAUGUUGGCAGUCAUACUUACCACACCAUUAAUGGACGGAGUUGGAUGCCAAUCCACUAUUUCCUCUAACAAUCGC